CAAGGUGAGAGAUACGGAGGUAGAGCACUGAAUGUCCUAGGGGGUAUUGCACCUACCGAAGACUAUCAAACUCCGAAUGCCGUCAUCUUAUACUUGGGAGUCAGACUGUGGGUGAUAAGAUUCAUAGUCGAAAGGGCAACAGCCCAGAUCGUCAGCUAAGGUCCCUAAAUGUAAGUUAAGUGGUAAAGGAUGUGGGAUUGCACAGACAACCAGGAUGUUGGCUUAGAAGCAGCCACUCAUUCAAAGAGUGCGUAAUAGCUCACUGGUCGAGUGAUCCUGCGCCGAAGAUUUCCGGGGCUAAAACUUACUACCGAAGCUACGGCAUCAGUAAUGAUGGGUAGGGGAGCUUCCCAUACGGGUUGAAGCAUGACCGUAAGGACAUGUGGACAGUAUGGGAGUGAGAAUGUUGGCAUGAGUAGCGAGAUGUGGGUGGGAAUCCCACAGGCCGUAAACCCAAGGUUUCCAGGGGAAGGUUCGUCCGCCCCGGGGUAGUCGGGCCCUAAGCUGAGGCCGAAAGGCGUAGGUGAUGGACAACAGGUUGAUAUUCCUGUACUACCGAUAACCGUUUGAGAGAAGGGAUGACACAGUAGGAUAAGCUAAGCACACUGUUGGUUAUGUGUGCCCAAGCAUUGAGGCAGUCAAAGUAGGCAAAUCCGCUUUGAUAAUGCUGGGAUGUGAUGGGGAGCGAAAUU
This 692-nucleotide ribosomal RNA is filed under the name Clostridioides difficile. Its description in RNAcentral is "bacterial LSU rRNA". It matches the Rfam family "Bacterial large subunit ribosomal RNA", at positions 883 to 1580 of the family's 2925-position model. The record is from RNAcentral. Lineage: Bacteria; Bacillati; Bacillota; Clostridia; Peptostreptococcales; Peptostreptococcaceae.